GAAUAACACUCUCAGUCCUCCUGGGCCCCGAGUUUGCUAACUCAACCUGCAGAUCUUGGGACUUGCUAGCCUCCAUAAUCAGGUGAGCCAAUUCCUUAUCAUAAAGCUCUUUCUAUAUAUACAUCUUAUUGGUUCAAUUUUUCUGGAAAACUGACAUAGCCACCAUUAUCAUAUACUGAAUUCUUACAUCAUCUUAGGCCUUUACAUAUUUUUUUUCAGACUCUAAAAUACUUAGUUUAUAGAGGUGAACCAACGAAAGAGACAACUAAUAAUAGGCCCCCCUUGUGUCAGAACAAACCUCCAGUACUGACCUCAGAAGCUGUUCCUGUAGGAAGGCUUGUAUGGCAAAUUGUGGUUACGUGUGGUUAAUUUUAGCUCUGAGCAUGGUAGUGGCUACCCAUCACCCGUGCCAGCAGCUUUGUAUGUGUUCCUGAAGCAGCUUGCUGAAGCCAGGAUAGGCAUUAAGGACCCUGUCCUGCAAAUAUUGGGGAACUGUGCUCUAGUCACUGAUUGCUCCUUCUGAUCGUGGAGGUGCAGACACGGAGGUGUAAGAAAACUAUAAACAAAAUGGAAACAUCAAUAAAGAUAGAGAAAACAAAUUCUGGAGCUGAAAAGUACAACAACUUUGCUAGAGGGAUUUAAAAGCAUAUUUGAGCAAGCAGAAGAAUGAGUGAAUUUGAAGAUAGGGUCAUUGAAAUCAAAUUUAAGGAAA
RNAcentral lists this long non-coding RNA (712 nucleotides) under Homo sapiens (human). RNAcentral's name for it is "non-protein coding lnc-ZNF25-2:1". Lineage: Eukaryota; Metazoa; Chordata; Mammalia; Primates; Hominidae. The record is from RNAcentral.